ACUUUCUUGCUGAUUUUGAGAGCAAUACGACUUCUUGUUUCAAUUUUUUUUUUGAUACAUCUUUCUCUUUGACAAGGCUUCAAGUGAAGGUGAAGGAUUGAGAGUAAUUGAGAAGUUCAAAGGUGAGAAUUUCUACCAUUGGAAAGUAAAAAUAGAACUUUUGUUAGCAUCUUUGGAUCUUUGAGAUAUUAUAGAUGAAAGUGAAGAGGCUCCAAGCAUAGAUACUGAUAUGAAGGAGAAGAAGGAAUUUAAACAUUAUAAAAAGAAGGCUUUUGAAUUGAUUGCAACAAAUGUGGAUGAAGCUAAUUUCUCCCAUAUUA
Molecule: long non-coding RNA, 320 nt
Filed under: Physcomitrium patens
Lineage: Eukaryota; Viridiplantae; Streptophyta; Bryopsida; Funariales; Funariaceae
Description: long non-coding RNA (PPAT_LNC006531)
Source: RNAcentral